This 460-nucleotide ribosomal RNA is filed under the name uncultured microorganism. RNAcentral describes it as "bacterial SSU rRNA". It matches the Rfam family "Archaeal small subunit ribosomal RNA", at positions 330 to 745 of the family's 1478-position model. The record is from RNAcentral.
GUGCACCAGGCGCGAAACCUCCGCAAUGCUCGAAAGAGCGACGGGGGGACUCCAAGUGCCUACGCUCAGCGUAGGCUGUUCCCGAGCCUAAAAAGCUCGGGGAGUAAGGGCUGGGUAAGACGGGUGCCAGCCGCCGCGGUAAUACCCGCAGCCCGAGUGGUGGCCGCUAUUAUUGGGCCUAAAGCGUCCGUAGCCGGCUCGGUAAAUGCCUGGGUAAAUCGUCUGGCCCAACCAGACGAAUUCCGGGUAGACUGCCGGGCUAGGGGACCGGAGGAGGGAGAGGGGUACUCCAGGGGUAGGGGUGAAAUCAGCAAGGUGAGUUGCUGAUGUAACUUGCCUUGCAAGUCACAAUCCUGUAAUCCCCUGGAGGACCACCGGUGGCGAAGGCGCUCUCCUAGGACGGUCGACGGUGAGGGGACGAAAGCCAGGGGAGCAAAACCGGAUUAGAUACCCGCGUAGU